CCUACGGGUGGCUGCAGUGGGGAAUAUUGGACAAUGGGGGCAACCCUGAUCCAGCCAUGCCGCGUGUGUGAAGAAGGCCCUCGGGUUGUAAAGCACUUUCAGUGAGGAAGAACGCCUGGUGGUUAAUAUCCAUCAGGAAAGACAUCACUCACAGAAGAAGCACCGGCUAACUCCGUGCCAGCAGCCGCGGUAAUACGGAGGGUGCGAGCGUUAAUCGGAAUUACUGGGCGUAAAGCGCGCGUAGGUGGCUUGAUAAGCCGGUUGUGAAAGCCCCGGGCUCAACCUGGGAACGGCAUCCGGAACUGUCAAGCUAGAGUGCAGGAGAGGAAGGUAGAAUUCCCGGUGUAGCGGUGAAAUGCGUAGAGAUCGGGAGGAAUACCAGUGGCGAAGGCGGCCUUCUGGACUGACACUGACACUGAGGUGCGAAAGCGUGGGUAGCAAACAGGAUUAGAUACCCGAGUAGUC
RNAcentral lists this ribosomal RNA (465 nucleotides) under Vreelandella stevensii. Its description in RNAcentral is "partial 16S ribosomal RNA". It matches the Rfam family "Bacterial small subunit ribosomal RNA", at positions 338 to 795 of the family's 1533-position model. The record is from RNAcentral. Lineage: Bacteria; Pseudomonadati; Pseudomonadota; Gammaproteobacteria; Oceanospirillales; Halomonadaceae.